CACCAGGUUGAUUCUGCCUGACGUAGACGCUAUACUCUAAGAUUAACCCAUGCAUGUUUAUUGAAUAUAAAGAAAAGACGAACAGCUCAGUAACUCUUAUUUGAUUUGAUGUAUUAGGAUUCUAACUAUGUUAAAUUAUAGGUAACAAUAAUACAAUAAGAAUAAGAUCUAUCAGUUAGUUGUUAAGGUAAUGGCUUAACAAGACUAUGACGGAUAACGGUAUUACUUUGUAAUAUUCCGGAGAAGGAGCCUGAGAGAUUGCUACUAAGUCUAAGGAUUGCAGCAGGGGCGAAACUUGACCUAUGAUAUUAUAUUGAGGCAGUUAUGAGUAGUAUUUUAUAAUUAUUGUAGUAUUGUAAGUACAUAUUACAAGAUAAAUCGGAGGGCAAAUCGAGUGCCAGCAGCCGCGGUAAUACUUGUUCCGAUAGUGUGUAUGAUGAUUGAUGCAGUUAAAAAGUCUGUAGUUUAUUUAUAAUAAGCAUUGUAAGGUAUACUGUAUGGUUAGGAGAGAGAUGAAAUGUGAUAACCCUAACUGGAUGAACAGAAGCGAAAGCUGUAUACUUAAAUGUAUUAUUAGAACAAGGACGUAAGCUAGAGGAUCGAAGAUGAUUAGAUACCAUUGUAGUUCUAGCAGUAAACUAUGUUGAAUCAUAGAUAUAUUUUGAUAUAUAUUUAUGUAGAGAAAUUAAGAUUAUAUUGACUCUGGGGAUAGUAUGAUCGCAAGAUUGAAAAUUAAAGAAAUUGACGGAAGAAUACCACAAGGAGUGGAUUGUGCGGCUUAAUUUGACUCAACGCGGGGUAAUUUACCAGGUAUAACAUGAUAUAAUAUUUUAUCAUGAUAGUGGUGCAUGGCCGUUUCCAAUGGAUGCUGUGAAGUAAUGAUUAAUUUCAACAAGAUGUGAGACCCUCAUUUAGACAGAUGUAGUGAUACAUAUGAAGGAGAGGAUUAAAACAGGUCCGUUAUGCCCUAAGAUAAUCUGGGUUGCACGCGCAAUACAAUAAUAUUUGAUAUUAUAAGGGAUAAUAUAAUGUAAGAUAUAUUUGAACAUGGAAUUGCUAGUAAAUUUUAUUUAAUAAGUAGAAUUGAAUGAGUCCCUGUUCUUUGUACACACCGCCCGUCGCUAUCUAAGAUGGUAUUAUCUAUGAACAAAUUUAUAAAGUGAAUAGAUA
Molecule: ribosomal RNA, 1170 nt
Filed under: Nosema bombycis
Lineage: Eukaryota; Fungi; Microsporidia; Nosematidae
Description: SSU rRNA
Rfam family: Microsporidia small subunit ribosomal RNA
Source: RNAcentral